UUGCUACUAUUUAUUUUACCCUUUAUUUUGUUUAAAAUUUAAAAUUUUCAAAUCAUUUUUAUUAAUUUUCUUUUAAAAUUAAGAAGUGGGUUCCUUUCCCACUGUCGUCAAAGCGAGUUGAAAUCUUCUGCACCCAAAAGCCACUGUGGCUACCUUGUAGCCUCUCUCAGGAUUUGACACCUGUCCGCUACUAACUUCACUUUUAAACACUGUUAACUCUCUGAACAAAUUUAAAAAAAAGACAACAAUAAGCGUAAAACCAGAAGCUCAUCCGUCCCUGAUCUCUCCCACCGAACGCCAAACGCCGACCACCACCAAAGCAUCCCACAACCAUCCCUCUCGGCCUCUUGAUUGAGAAUAUCGCUGUAUUCUUCCAGAUCCCCGAUACUACAAACCCACUUCAAGACCCGCCAUAUCCGUGAGGUCGGCGGCUACCAGUCGGCGUUACGAGAAAUCGAAGCCCUCCGCCGCCAUUGAUGGGGCUUUUCCCAGUAUAUUCUUUCGCGCUUUAAUCUUUGUACAAUUACAAAACCAUCACUUGGAAGAAGACGACUUUUGGUGUUGGGAGGAUAAUGAGGACGGUGGCGACGACCGUCCGAUGAUUGGAAGCCAUGUGCUAUAAAUUUGGAAUUUGAAAGGAAAGCUGUGGUAGAUAGGUUGUAGGGGUGAAGAUGGCAGGGAAGGGAGGAAGGAGGAGGCGCUAUGGUUUCUGUGGGUUGAGAGGUAGAAGAGGGUGAGAUUGAGAGAGCUGAGAGAGCAAAUAGAUGGAUCUUUUUUUUUCUUUUUUUUUUUUAUAAUCUUUUUCAGAGUUAACGGUGUUAAACUAGAGUUAGUAGUUGACAGGUGUCAAACUCUAAGAAAGGCCACAGGGAUGUCACAGAGGCUUUUGGGUGCAGAAAAUUUCAACUCCGUCAAAGCCGGCCUUCUUUCUUCUUCUGCAAAUAUCAUCAUGACCCUUCUAUCUUUUCAGCAAUAUCAUCAUUAUAUUAAAUACUUUUCUUUUGUAUGCAAGUGGGGGUCGUCUGAUUUGGUAAGGUCAAGUGGGGGUCGUCUGAUUGGCGUAAGUUACGGAGCAGGUGGGUGUAACAUGUAUUUGGCCUCGGAAGUUUCGCAGCAACAUCCGCGCACCCUCGUCACACCUAAGUCCCAGUAACCAAGACUAGAUUGUAACACCACAUUUUUGGUGCGCUGGUCAAGCCGCCACGUGAACCAGUCACUUAACAGAUAGUUUUCUAAGAGAAAUUUUUAGUUGUGACAAAAACACGAAUAGUACACCACGUGUUGUUAUGCAAGUGAUGAAAAAUUUUAAUUUUUAAAUUAUUAACCUUAUAACACAUAUAACCCAUC
Molecule: long non-coding RNA, 1347 nt
Filed under: Malus domestica (apple)
Lineage: Eukaryota; Viridiplantae; Streptophyta; Magnoliopsida; Rosales; Rosaceae
Description: long non-coding RNA (MDOM_LNC002469)
Source: RNAcentral